RNAcentral lists this ribosomal RNA (253 nucleotides) under uncultured bacterium. RNAcentral's name for it is "partial 16S ribosomal RNA". It matches the Rfam family "Bacterial small subunit ribosomal RNA", at positions 524 to 776 of the family's 1533-position model. The record is from RNAcentral.
UACGUAGGGUGCAAGCGUUAAUCGGAAUUACUGGGCGUAAAGCGUGCGCAGGCGGUGAUGUAAGACAGUUGUGAAAUCCCUCGGCUCAACUGAGGAACUGCCUUUGAAACUGUCUGGCUUGAGGCCGGGAGGGGGUAGCGGAAUUCCCAGUGUAGCGGUGAAAUGCGUAGAUAUUGGGAGGAACACCAGUGGCGAAGGCGGCUACCUGGACCGGUUCUGACGCUGAUGCGCGAAAGCGUGGGUAGCAAACAGG